GACGAACGCUGGCGGCGUGCUUAACACAUGCAAGUCGAGCGGUAAGGCCCCCUUCGGGGGGUACACGAGCGGCGAACGGGUGAGUAACACGUGAGCAACCUACCCUCAACUUCGGGAUAAGCCUCGGAAACGGGGUCUAAUACCGGAUAUCACUUUCCACCUCAUGGUGGGGGGUUGAAAGUUCUGGCGGUUGGGGAUGGGCUCGCGGCCUAUCAGCUUGUUGGUGGGGUAAUGGCCUACCAAGGCGUCGACGGGUAGCCGGCCUGAGAGGGCGACCGGCCACACUGGGACUGAGACACGGCCCAGACUCCUACGGGAGGCAGCAGUGGGGAAUAUUGCGCAAUGGACGAAAGUCUGACGCAGCAACGCCGCGUGAGGGAUGACGGCCUUCGGUU
Molecule: ribosomal RNA, 395 nt
Filed under: uncultured bacterium
Lineage: Bacteria
Description: bacterial SSU rRNA
Rfam family: Bacterial small subunit ribosomal RNA
Source: RNAcentral